Molecule: long non-coding RNA, 290 nt
Filed under: Marmota monax (woodchuck)
Lineage: Eukaryota; Metazoa; Chordata; Mammalia; Rodentia; Sciuridae
Source: RNAcentral
AAACAUAUAGGUUUGGUCUUGGCCUUUUCAUUAGCUUUUAGCUAACUUAUACAUGCAAACAUCCCUGCCCCAGUGAGAAUGCCCUCUAUAUCUAUUAAUUGAUCAAAAGGUGCAGGCAUCAAAUUCAUCAUCCUAAUAGCUCAUAAUACCUUGCUCCAUCACACCCCCACGGGAUACAGCAGUAAUUAAAAUUAAGCCUAUAAACGAAAUUUUGACUAAGUUAAAUAAGGGUUGGUAAAUUUUGUGCCAGCCACUGCGGUCAUACAAUUAACCCUAGUUAAUGAAACACA